This 995-nucleotide long non-coding RNA is filed under the name Mytilus galloprovincialis (Mediterranean mussel). The record is from RNAcentral. Lineage: Eukaryota; Metazoa; Mollusca; Bivalvia; Mytilida; Mytilidae.
UUGGACAUGUACACCUUACAAUCCUUCCAUACACCAAAUAUACUAGACCUAUUGCUUAUAGUAUCUGAGAUAUGGACUUGACCACCAAAACUUAACCUUGUUCACUGAUCCAUGAAAUGAGGUCGAGGUCAAGUGGAAACUGUCUGACGGGCAUGAGGACCUUGCAAGGUACGCACAUACUAAAUAUAGUUAUCCUAUUACUUAUAAUAAGAGAGAAUUUAACAUUACAAAAAAUUCAACUUUUUUUCAAGGAAAAUGAAAAUGAGGUCAAGGUCAUUGGACAUAUGACUGACGGAAAGUUGAGGCAUCUAUAUACAAAGUAUGAAGCAUCCAGGUCUUCCACCUUCUAAAAUAUAAAGCUUUUAGGAAGUUAUCUAAUGCCGCUGCGGCCAGAUCACUAUCCCUAUGUCUAGCUUUCUGCAACAAAAGUGGCAGGCUCGACAAAAAUUAACACUGAGCCAUGAACCGUGAGAAUGAGGUCAAGGUCAAAUAGAACAUACACAACUGACAUAAAGAUCAUAAAAUAUUUCCAUACACCAAAUAUAAUUGACCUAUUGCAUAUAGUAUUAGAAGAAAAAAAAUCAAAAACUUAACUUUGACCACUGAACCAUGAAAUGAGGUCAAGGUCAGAUGACACCUGCCAGCUAGACAUGUACACCUUACAAUCAUUCCAUACACCAAAUAUAGUAGACCUAUGGCAUACAGUAAUGAGAAAAACAGACCAAAACACAAAAACUUAACUAUAACCACUGAACCAUGAAAAUGAGGUCAAGGUCAGAUGACACCUGCCAGUUGGACAUGUACACCUUACAGUGCUUCCAUACACCGAAUAUACUAGACCUAUUGCUUAUAGUAUUUGAGAUAUGGACUUAACCACCAAAACUUAACCUUGUUCACUGAUCCAUGAAAUGAGGUCGAGGUCAAGUGAAAACUGUUUGACGGGCAUGAGGACCUUGCAAGCUACGCACAUACCAAAUAUAGUUAUCGUAUUACUU